Molecule: unclassified non-coding RNA, 323 nt
Filed under: uncultured Sebacinales
Lineage: Eukaryota; Fungi; Basidiomycota; Agaricomycetes; Sebacinales
Description: sequence contains 5.8S rRNA gene, ITS2, 28S rRNA gene
Source: RNAcentral
AACGCACCUUGCACCCUUUGGUAUUCCGAAGGGUAUGCUCGUUUGAGUGUCAUUGUACUCUCACACUCCAAAGUCCUUUGGAUUUGGGAAGUGGUGGACUUGGGUGGUGCAGCUUCCUUGUUGCUCACCUCAAAUGUGUUAGUGCAACUCUUGGUUGGACAUAGUACGGCAUGAUAAGUGUCUUUGCCGGCGACCUGCCUUCGCUUUGGAGGGGGAAGGGUGGCCAAUCGAAGGGCUCUGUGCUUUCGAAUCGUCUUCGGACAAGCUCACAAGCUCUCUGACAAUUUGACCUCAAAUCGAGUAGGACUACCCGCUGAACUUAA